This 345-nucleotide ribosomal RNA is filed under the name uncultured bacterium. RNAcentral describes it as "bacterial SSU rRNA". It matches the Rfam family "Bacterial small subunit ribosomal RNA", at positions 28 to 355 of the family's 1533-position model. The record is from RNAcentral.
GACGAACGCUGACGGCGUGCCUAACACAUGCAAGUCGAGCGGUCCAUAGAGUUUUAGCUUGCUAAAACUCUAUGGAUAGCGGCGAACGGGUGAGCAACGCGUGGGUAACCUGUCCGGAAGACUGGGAUAACAGUUCGAAAGGACUGCUAAUACCGGAUAUUUUCACCGGGUCACAUGGCCUGGUAUGGAAAGGAAGGCAACUUCUGUUUCCGGAUGGGCCCGCGUCCCAUUAGCUAGUUGGUAGGGUAAAGACCUACCAAGGCGACGACGGGUAGCUGGUCUGAGAGGAUGGGGCAGCCACACUGGGACUGAGACACGGCCCAGACUCCUACGGGAGGCAGCAUG